UUCAACACCAUAACUGCUCCCAACCAAGACCUCUGUAGGCAGUAUAAUACUUCGUCUUUCUAUCCAGUAGUGAGGGAUUACUGGAAAUAAGUUUCGCA
RNAcentral lists this non-coding RNA (98 nucleotides) under unclassified sequences. RNAcentral describes it as "PhotoRC-II RNA". It matches the Rfam family "PhotoRC-II RNA". The record is from RNAcentral.